UGGGGAAUUUUGGACAAUGGGCGCAAGCCUGAUCCAGCAAUGCCGCGUGAGUGAAGAAGGCCUUCGGGUUGUAAAGCUCUUUCAGGUGGAAAGAAAACGCAUAGGUUAAUACCUUGUGCGGAUGACGGUACCAUCAGAAGAAGCACCGGCUAACUACGUGCCAGCAGCCGCGGUAAUACGUAGGGUGCGAGCGUUAAUCGGAAUUACUGGGCGUAAAGCGUGCGCAGGCGGUUAUGUAAGACAGAUGUGAAAUCCCCGGGCUUAACCUGGGAACUGCGAUUGUGACUGCAAGGCUAGAGUGUGUCAGAGGGGGGUGGAAUUCCACGUGUAGCAGUGAAAUGCGUAGAGAUGUGGAGGAACACCGAUUGCGAAGGCAGCUUACUAUGGUUUUAUUGACGCUGAGGCACGAAAGCGUGGGGAUCAAACA
This 427-nucleotide ribosomal RNA is filed under the name uncultured bacterium. RNAcentral's name for it is "bacterial SSU rRNA". It matches the Rfam family "Bacterial small subunit ribosomal RNA", at positions 355 to 774 of the family's 1533-position model. The record is from RNAcentral.